This is a long non-coding RNA of Eriocheir sinensis (Chinese mitten crab), 436 nucleotides long. RefSeq lists it as uncharacterized. The record is from RefSeq and is a predicted model, not a curated record. NCBI's taxonomy places the organism in Eukaryota, Metazoa, Arthropoda, Malacostraca, Decapoda, Varunidae. The transcript is spliced from 3 exons.
AGGAGGAGGUCAGAGGAGCCGGGAGAGGGUGAUACAUUUCGGCGCCCAAGUGAGGACGAGUGGUGAGGCGCCAACCGAGGAGACACCAGCGCUGCCGCCGUGGGAGGGGCGCGUGACGGCCGUGUUGAGAAAGGGCGAGAGAGUCGGGGGGAAGAGACUGGCGUAAAGCAGGGUCCAAUCCAGCGGAUGACGAGACGAGGGUCCCUGACUGCCAGAGUGCCAAGGAUGAGUGAGGAGGCGGCUGCCCUGGCGGCCGGGGAUGCUACGGCGCCAAAGAGACACCCACCUGGAGACAGCACGUUAUAAGAGAAGAUGGCGCCACUAUAAACACUUGCCUGCGCCAUGACGGGCUGGGGCCGACUACCAUCCAGGCCCCUCAAGAAAGCCUACCGGCGCUAUAGGCGUACAUGUAAAAAGAAAAAAAGAAAAAAAAAAA